Long non-coding RNA from Thalassophryne amazonica, 483 nucleotides. RefSeq lists it as uncharacterized. The record is from RefSeq and is a predicted model, not a curated record. Lineage: Eukaryota; Metazoa; Chordata; Actinopteri; Batrachoidiformes; Batrachoididae. The transcript has 4 exons.
GCAGAAGGUGGCAGCAACACAACAAUAAGGGUGCCGACUGCAUUAAACACCAAAGAAGAAGAAACAAAAGAUGGAGACUUUCAGCGGCCGCACUUUAGAAAUAAUUUAUACUCUGCUCUUAUUGGCUGUGGUCGUUUUGUCCUGGUUUUACGUCAUCUACGCCAGCAGAGUGGCAGCUCAUUGGCUCCUGGAGCAGAGGGCCGCCCUCCUACGUCAUGACUGACAGGCGGUGGACGGCGUUAUGUGGCAUCAUGAUGCCAGGGUUCGCAUCCUGAUCAGAGACCCUGCUUCAGGCCAGAGAGGCAGGAUGACAGGAAGACGACUGUGUUGACCUGAAAUAACCUGCACUUAAGGACUCAGCGAGGAAACGGCCUUGGAGCAAAGGAUUGUGGGUAUGGCGUACCUCACCCCCGAACUGAUAGCAAAUAAGAACUCUGGGCUUUGAAAACCCGGCUGAUGUUUUUAGGAUGAAAUAAACAUUUG